GACAGAGGGUGCAAACGUUGUUCGGAAUUAUUGGGCGUAAAGAGCUCGUAGGCGGUUUGUCGCGUCGAAUGUGAAAACCCGGGGCUCAACCCCGGGCCUGCAUUCGAUACGGGCAGACUAGAGUUCGGUAGGGGAGUCUGGAAUUCCUGGUGUAGCGGUGAAAUGCGCAGAUAUCAGGAGGAACACCGGUGGCGAAGGCGGGACUCUGGGCCGAUACUGACGCUGAGGAGCGAAAGCGUGGGGAGCAAACAGG
RNAcentral lists this ribosomal RNA (253 nucleotides) under uncultured bacterium. Its description in RNAcentral is "partial 16S ribosomal RNA". It matches the Rfam family "Bacterial small subunit ribosomal RNA", at positions 524 to 776 of the family's 1533-position model. The record is from RNAcentral.